AACGAACGCUGGCGGCGUGCCUAACACAUGCAAGUCGAGCGCGAAAGGAGCAAUCCGAGUAGAGCGGCGCACGGGUGCGUAACACGUGGAUAAUCUGCCCUUGAAUUCGGGAUAACCUUCCGAAAGGUUGGCUAAUACCGGGUAAGCUCACGGUGACUUCGGUCGCUGUGGGAAAAGUAGACCUCUGUUUACAAGUUUACGUUUGAGGAUGAGUCCGCGGCCCAUCAGCUAGUUGGCGGGGUAAUGGCCCACCAAGGCUACGACGGGUAGCUGGUCUGAGAGGACGAUCAGCCACACUGGAACUGAGACACGGUCCAGACUCCUACGGGAGGCAGCAGUGGGGAAUUUUCCACAAUGGGCGAAAGCCUGAUGGAGCAACGCCGCGUGUGUGAUGAAGGUCUUCGGAUCGUAAAGCACUUUUCGACCGGGACGGAAAAACCUACUGGCUAACAAUCCAGGGGCCUGACGGUACCGGGAGAAGAAGCACCGGCUAACUCUGUGCCAGCAGCCGCGGUAA
Molecule: ribosomal RNA, 517 nt
Filed under: uncultured bacterium
Lineage: Bacteria
Description: bacterial SSU rRNA
Rfam family: Bacterial small subunit ribosomal RNA
Source: RNAcentral